UAUUUUAGAUAAUUUUAGAAUAUAUUAAUUGAUAUUUUAUUUGAAUAAAUUUUAGAUAUCAACCAUUAGUUUAAGCAUGGAGAUGGAGUUUCCACAGCAUGAUCCAACUGUAUCAUGCUUAAAGAAGAAGUUGAAUAUGAUAAUAUAAAAUUUAUGAAGCCAAUGAUAAAGGACAGAAAAACUACUGACAAUUUUAGUACUAAAGAAACUACACCAAAGACUACUAGUUCAAAAAUAAAUGCACUCAUGGGUGAAAGACUUUUGGCUCUUUUGGAAAGGGUGCCAUCUGAAAGCCAAUUGUAUCUACAAUCAAUGGCAGAAGGCUUGGAAAGUAUGAGCCAUUCAAAUAAAUACUUUUUCAAUUGUGAAGUAUCAAGAUUGUAUCAUACAUUGAUGGAACAAUCAAGGGAUCAAAAUACUAUUGAAUUAUCACCAACAAAUUCAAC
This is a long non-coding RNA of Gordionus sp. m RMFG-2023, 446 nucleotides long. RefSeq lists it as uncharacterized. Lineage: Eukaryota; Metazoa; Nematomorpha; Gordioida; Chordodea; Parachordodidae. The record is from RefSeq and is a predicted model, not a curated record. The transcript has 3 exons.